Long non-coding RNA from Monodelphis domestica (gray short-tailed opossum), 338 nucleotides. RefSeq lists it as uncharacterized. The record is from RefSeq and is a predicted model, not a curated record. NCBI's taxonomy places the organism in Eukaryota, Metazoa, Chordata, Mammalia, Didelphimorphia, Didelphidae.
AGAGGAUCCUGGGGAAAGUUAAUGAGCUCAUAAUGACUGCACAUAACCCCUGUCCCAAUCCUCUUGCCAAUGAAUAGACUGUUUGCAGUGAGCCUGAUCAUGGGAUGCUGUUGCUUUCCAAAAAAUUAGAGGUGGAGAUCACCCUGAGGGCAGUGGAGAAAUGCACAGUGGGUCCCUACUCCUCCUAGAUUUCUGGACAGGUCAUGGGCAAGGGAGAACUUUAAGAACAAGGAUGUGACUUCUCCCCACCACCCUAGGGAAUAGCUGAGAAAUAAACUUUGAAGCCGAGUUGGAGCCACUGAAAGCUGAACGAGAGAAUAAACAAAUAUUCAACAGAA